GACGAACCGUGCGAACGUUGUUCGGAUUCACUGGGCAUAAAGGGCGCGUAGGCGGAUGGUCAAGUCGGGGGGUGAAAUCUUUCAGCUUAACUGGAAAAGUGCCUCCGAUACUGAUCGUCUCGAGGGAGGUAGGGGCAUGUGGAACUUCCGGUGGAGCGGUGAAAUGCGUAGAUAUCGGAAGGAACGCCGGUGGCGAAAGCGACGUGCUGGACCUCUUCUGACGCUGAGGCGCGAAAGCUAGGGGAGCAAACGGG
This 254-nucleotide ribosomal RNA is filed under the name uncultured bacterium. RNAcentral's name for it is "partial 16S ribosomal RNA". It matches the Rfam family "Bacterial small subunit ribosomal RNA", at positions 524 to 776 of the family's 1533-position model. The record is from RNAcentral.